AUUUACAGUAUUUUCAAACUGUUAAUCAAGUGACAACAUGGCAACUAAGUUUAUUUGUAUAGCUUUGGCACUGAUGCUGAUCUGUAUCAUAAUAAGUCCUGCAGAAGUAGAUAGUUCGAGUUCGGAAUCAAGAGAAAGUCAAUCAGCAAGUGAUUCAUUUGAAUCGGUCGAAACGAUCGAGGAAUUAGGCGAUAAUACUCGGUUAGAUUUUGGGAAGAAAUAGCUGCUCUAAAAGUUCUAAACUCAGUCGCCGGCUUUUACAAGAUAAAGUGCAAUUCAUGCUGUGUACUUGAUGAGUGAUUAAGAACGAAACGACUUUUAACUAUCAACAAUGAUUAAUUGGUGGUGGUUAUAUUAUACCUUUAACUGUAUUAAAAUAUUCU
Molecule: long non-coding RNA, 383 nt
Organism: Saccoglossus kowalevskii
Lineage: Eukaryota; Metazoa; Hemichordata; Enteropneusta; Harrimaniidae
Source: RefSeq, a predicted model, not a curated record